GAUAAAAUAAAAUAAAUUAAAUAAAAAGGGGUGCGGAGGUGCCUAAAUAAGAAAAUGGGGUGUCUAAACUAUUUUUAUAAACAGAUUGGGCUUAAGCCCAAACUGGAUGGGGUGAGAUUUAGCAGAAAUAGGGAUGCAGGGAAGAAAGGAUUUUUCAAACAGGAUGGGCUUAAGCCCAAAGAUAAUGGGGGUGUAAAAUGGGAGCGAUGGUGCAGAAAAAAAAAAGAUAUAUUUUUUUAUAAUUUUUUUUGGUUUGGCCUAGUAACUGAAACCCAAGGCUUUUCCUCAGAAACAGGGGUUCUCUUCUUCCCAUCUCAUUUCGCCCCAAAUCUAAACUACGGAACCCUAAGGGGAUUUGCCUCCUCUGCGCGCACCUCACCACCUCUGCCACGGCCUCCACCCAGCCAGACCAGCUGCCGUGACGGACCCCUGCUCAGUCUAGGGCGUCGCCAACGACCAAGCGCCACCGGAGCUACUGCCGGCCGUGGGGUUAAACUUCUCUUCUCUUGCACGAGGGAGAACGAUCCCUGGGACGCAUGUUCCCCGUCUCUGGCGAGACCAGCCACCGUCGUUCGGCGACCAAGACGUUGUCGUCACCAUCACUGAAACUGGCCGCCGCCGUCUCCAGAUCAGGAACCAGGGUCGCGCCGGCUAUGCAACUCGCUGUCGGAGUCGUCGCCACUCGAUCCAAGGCGUCGCCGGCGACACCAACCAUCAACAGGACCAGUCGGCGGGAGAGAGAAGAAUCGUUGCUUCCCUGAGUCUAGUCUCCACCACCAUGAACGGAUCCAACCAUCGCCGCCGGCGCACGUGACUCUUUUCUCCCUCUUUUCCUAUCGUGGUCGCCACCACCACAGAGGCGGAAACUACCGCCACCGAGGCCACCACUAGCGUGGUUCCACGGAAGGUUAACUCAUUUGUUGGUGGCUUGAGGUGAACAGAGGCAAGGGGACCCAAUUUCAUGAUCUGACUUGGUUUGUGGGGUUUUUGGUGGUUGGUGGGUGAACAUGGACUGUCGGCAUUGACAGAGAGUGGAGGAAUCGGAAAAGCUGUUUCAGUUUGUUGGGAUGAUGAUUUAUCUGCAGGGGGUUACCGGAACUUGGACUAUGAUGCAGGACUUUAAUUCGCAGCUUUGGGUUACGCAAAGAGAGCACUGGUCUCUAAUGGUUCAUAGGUUUAGGAUAUGCAUGGAAAGCACUGGUCUCUAAUGGUUAAAGGUGGUGAAACGUGUUUUUGUUGUUGGGAGGGAGGCAUAACAAACAAUGUACAGAAGCACAUCAUGCACAUCAUGUAUAUUCAAUAUAAUUACAUGUUCAAGCAAACAAAGCUGUUCAAUAUAAUUGCAUGUUCAAGCAGAAAAACCCAGCAUCACCAAAUCAAAACCAGAAGCAGAAACGCAAUCUAACAUUUAUAACUUGUGAGCGAUGAAGCUAAGGGAGAGUGGCAAUGAGGAAAAAAAUGGCUUCUGUUUGAUGGCGGAGGUGAAUCAUUGGGAAUGAAAGGGAAAUGUUGUUGGGUAUGUGAAUGGAGGAAGUGGAUUCUGUUGAGUAGAGAGUGAAUGGUGAAGUUGAGAGUAGUGUUUUUUUUCAAUACUCAGGCUGCCCUCUCAUAACUUGGAGAUGCGUUUUUGUUUCUUUUUUUUCUCUGCUCUCUCUGCCAAAGGCGACUGCAAUCACUCUUCCACCAUCUUUCAUGCUCCCAUGCUAAACCAGUUCAAAGCGCCGGUCCAUACACAGUAUUCGCACCCAAAAGGGGAUAUGGCGUGCCUGUGGAAUGGUUGCUUCCUGAAACCCAGCCAAGCCAUCCUGCUUGUUGUAUUUCCUCUUUCAGGUGAGCCAGCUAAAGAUUCUAGGUUCAUGCAUAAAGAAAAGAUUUGCACCAGAAUGGGAGAUAGCGUCAUGGAAUGAAAAAGGAAAAGCAGCUUACUCAAAUUGGACCGGAUACCGUUCUUUUGUUUUGUUUCAUCAACGUUUACCAUAAAAAUUAAAGUAAAAGAAUAUAAAAAUAAAACUAAACAGCAAAAACAAAACAACGGAAAAAAAUAAAA
Molecule: long non-coding RNA, 2047 nt
Organism: Vigna radiata var. radiata (mung bean)
Lineage: Eukaryota; Viridiplantae; Streptophyta; Magnoliopsida; Fabales; Fabaceae
Exons: 3
Source: RefSeq, a predicted model, not a curated record